Peromyscus californicus insignis is the source of this 361-nucleotide long non-coding RNA. RefSeq lists it as uncharacterized. The record is from RefSeq and is a predicted model, not a curated record. The transcript has 2 exons. NCBI's taxonomy places the organism in Eukaryota, Metazoa, Chordata, Mammalia, Rodentia, Cricetidae.
UUGAGGUUUUAUAGCCUGACGUCACUUCCUGACUGCAGAGAUACAGUGUGAACCAGCUGCCUCCUGCUCCUUAGACCAGGCCUUCUCUGCAAUGGAGGACUGCAUCCCUUCCAACUGUAAGCCAAAACAACUACAGCCUUGCCAGACUCCAUGGAACACUCCUUCAAUCCCAGCACUCACAAGGCUAAGGCAGGAAGACUGUGAGUUCGAGGUCAACCUGGACAAACAAAAACUUAAAAGGAACGUGAGAUACAAAAAGUUAAAAUAAUGUGGCUUCUAGGUCAGAACUUCAAGGUCAAAAAGUUAUAAAUGUACUCAAUGCCAUCAAACUGUACACUUAAAUAAAAAUGUGGAAGUUGGA